CCCGGCACAAGCGGUGGAGCAUGUGGUUUAAUUCGAUGCAACGCGAAGAACCUUACCUGGUCUUGACAUCCACAGAACUUUCCAGAGAUGGAUUGGUGCCUUCGGGAACUGUGAGACAGGUGCUGCAUGGCUGUCGUCAGCUCGUGUUGUGAAAUGUUGGGUUAAGUCCCGCAACGAGCGCAACCCUUAUCCUUUGUUGCCAGCGGUCCGGCCGGGAACUCAAAGGAGACUGCCAGUGAUAAACUGGAGGAAGGUGGGGAUGACGUCAAGUCAUCAUGGCCCUUACGACCAGGGCUACACACGUGCUACAAUGGCGCAUACAAAGAGAAGCGACCUCGCGAGAGCAAGCGGACCUCAUAAAGUGCGUCGUAGUCCGGAUUGGAGUCUGCAACUCGACUCCAUGAAGGCGGAAUCGCUAGUAAUCGCGGAUCAGCAUGCCGCGGUGAAUACGUUCUCGGGGUUU
Molecule: ribosomal RNA, 463 nt
Filed under: uncultured Enterobacteriaceae bacterium
Lineage: Bacteria; Pseudomonadati; Pseudomonadota; Gammaproteobacteria; Enterobacterales; Enterobacteriaceae
Description: bacterial SSU rRNA
Rfam family: Bacterial small subunit ribosomal RNA
Source: RNAcentral